UUGUGGAGUGUCCCAGUG
Molecule: small nuclear RNA, 18 nt
Filed under: Arabidopsis thaliana (thale cress)
Lineage: Eukaryota; Viridiplantae; Streptophyta; Magnoliopsida; Brassicales; Brassicaceae
Description: snRNA_05724
Source: RNAcentral